RNAcentral lists this ribosomal RNA (497 nucleotides) under uncultured bacterium. RNAcentral's name for it is "partial 16S ribosomal RNA". It matches the Rfam family "Bacterial small subunit ribosomal RNA", at positions 28 to 507 of the family's 1533-position model. The record is from RNAcentral.
GACGAACGCUGGCGGCGUGCCUAAUACAUGCAGGUUGAGCGCUGAAGGUUGGUACUUGUACCAACUGGAUGAGCAGCGAACGGGUGAGUAACGCGUGGGGAAUCUGCCUUUGAGCGGGGGACAACAUUUGGAAACGAAUGCUAAUACCGCAUAAAAACUUUAAACACAAGUUUUAAGUUUGAAAGAUGCAAUUGCAUCACUCAAAGAUGAUCCCGCGUUGUAUUAGCUAGUUGGUGAGGUAAAGGCUCACCAAGGCGAUGAUACAUAGCCGACCUGAGAGGGUGAUCGGCCACAUUGGGACUGAGACACGGCCCAAACUCCUACGGGAGGCAGCAGUAGGGAAUCUUCGGCAAUGGACGAAAGUCUGACCGAGCAACGCCGCGUGAGUGAAGAAGGGUUUCGGAUCGUAAAACUCUGUUGGUAGAGAAGAACGUUGGUGAGAGUGGAAAGCUCAUCAAGUGACGGUAACUACCCAGAAAGGGACGGCUAACUACGUG